This 519-nucleotide ribosomal RNA is filed under the name Triticum aestivum (bread wheat). RNAcentral describes it as "partial small subunit ribosomal RNA". The record is from RNAcentral. Lineage: Eukaryota; Viridiplantae; Streptophyta; Magnoliopsida; Poales; Poaceae.
AUGGGCCAGCCCAGAAAGGCGCGCAGGGGAGCGGGCCAUGCGCGCGGGGCUGCUUUCAGGCGUGCACGUCGGCGAAUAAGAGGUCCCACCGAUGAGCUAAAUUUUGAGCCUUUUCUUUUUGCAUACUGGCUAUAUCAGCAUGAUCUUGGACGGGUUUUUCUUCAUUCUUUCAGUUCGCGGGGACAGAGCCCAAAGUGUACCAUGUAUAUGGGGAACAUUCGCUCUCUUUUUUGUGGUGUCAUGGGCAAUAUUCUUGCUUUGUGCAUAGUCUUGUACUACCUUUUUAGUGAGUAUAUAUAUAUAUGCGGAACAUUCCAGAAGAUACAGGGGUUUCUUCCAUUUCAAAUGGUCCAACUAAUAAGCAUGAUGAGGGAGGCCAUGAUUUCUCUAAUCGGGAUGCUCUUGCCGGAUAGGCUUACCCACCUCUCCCAGAGAGAGGGUUCCAAGUGCAUGCCAACAGGAUGUGUUAGCUCUGGAGGAGUAGCCACUCAUUUGCGAAGUCUUAUAAGCAAAGGGUAA